CACACACGCACACACACACACACACACACACACACACGCACACACGCACACACGCACACACGCACACAGACAGACAGCUCACCGCCACUGAAAGUGUAAGCCCAGGUAACCUCAGCCAACGCCUAAGAGUAGGUGAAUCUGAGGUGAAGCUGAGGUAAAGCUGGAUGAUGACAUCUUCCUAUUCUUCCAGGUACCCUCUGGCUGGCAUGGAGAGAAAAAGGUCAGAGGAAGCAUCACUACAUAACACUAUGCUAGUAACACCAAUGCUAACGCACAAAUUCAAUGUUUUCAUUAGGUCAAUGCAAUGCCUCAACAAAAUGCCACCCAUUAAAGGUACAGAAUGUAUGACACCCAUUAAAGGUACAGAGUGUAUGCCCCCCAUUAAAGGUAGAUCAUUUAUGCCACCUAUUAAAGGUACAGAGUGUAUGCCACCCAUUAAAGGUACAGAAUGUAUGCCACCCAUUAAAGGUACAGAGUGUAUGCCACCCAUUAAAGGUGCAGAGUGUAUGCCCCCCAUUAAAGGUAGAUAAUUUAUGCCACCCAUUAAAGGUACAGAAUGUAUGCCACCCAUUAAAGGUACAGAAUGUAUGCCCCUCAUUAAAGGUGCAGAGUGUAUGCCACCCAUUAAAGGUAGAUCAUUUAUGCCACCCUUAAAGGUACAGAAUGUAUGCCCCCCCAUUAAAGGUACAGAAUGUAUGCCCCCCAUUAAAGGUACAGAGUGUAUGCCCCCCAUUAAAGGUACAGAGUGUAUGCUCCCCAUUAAAGGUACACAGUGUAUGCCCCCCAUUAAAGGUACAGAAUGUAUGCCCCCCAUUAAAGGUAGAUCAUUUAUGCCACCCAUUAAAGGUAUGCUACAGAGUGUAGUGUAAUGCCUCUGAGUAAAGAUGUGGGGGAAUCCUAUGGUUAAACACUGAGUUCGCCUCCAGAUUAAGCAUUAGAGUCAGC
RNAcentral lists this long non-coding RNA (945 nucleotides) under Salmo salar (Atlantic salmon). RNAcentral's name for it is "lncRNA (ENSSSAG00000112000.1)". The record is from RNAcentral. Lineage: Eukaryota; Metazoa; Chordata; Actinopteri; Salmoniformes; Salmonidae.